UUGGUAGAAGGUUGGAGGUAGAUCAACGGGUCGGGGACUUACAAAGGUCCCAUGGCGGCAAACGUAGCCUUCUUUAUUUCAUCAGGGGAUGGGUUAAAUCAGAGGGUUGAGUUGGUUUCAUCAUUCACAAAAGGUUCAAUAAGGAAAUAAUCUCCUGAAGAGCCUCAUUAUGAUCAGCUCUUCCAUGAAGGUAGAUUGACAAUGAGAGGUAAUUUCAUAAAAUAAUUCAGAGUUUGAAGAAGUCCAGCUACCUGAAGGAAGACGGACCUUUAAUAUUCUAUUUGAUUGGCGUGUUUGUAGAGUGUAUUAAUGUGUUGCAGACUUGCAGGUGAGAAAGCAGACUUCUGCAAGUCCUCUGUCACUACAAAACAAGGAGGAGAGAAUCCCUGGGAGUGGGAAUUCAUGUGACUCUCUUAAUGUAUAGACUAGACUCUUAAAACCGCAAACCCUAAUUUUCAUCUCAAACUUUACUUUUGUAAUGCUUCUUCUCUCGCUCAGCCGCACCACCCAGGGUCUGCGCCCGAUCUUCUUUGUUCAGCAUCACAAUUAGCAGCCAUAUCCACAACGCUUGAACAGUGAUUGUAAUUUAUCGCAUUCGAGAUCGAUUUCUCCGAUCGCAGGACCCAAAGGCUUCUGCUCUCCUAGCAAUCGCAGAACCGAUCCUUCCCAACCCCAAAAUCCCGACUCUUUUACCGCUGAACUUGGUGUUUAGCUCCUUAUCCCCUUUGGUCACCCACUAUCCACUCUUCACGUAAGGAUCAUGCUGGCAAAUCCUUCUAUAUAUCCCUAGCACCAAAGCCAUGGCCGUGUCGGCGAGCACGCCAGGGUGUUAGUAACCCGGUCCCCUGCAACUCAUGUGUAAAAACCCCUCUCCCCAUCAGAGAUCGGCAUGCGUUGAUUUGUCCGACGGCAUUCCUAUUGUCCUUGAACUUGGAAGCGAUUCUCCCCAUUUCAUUUCAUCAAUAGAAGUUAGUUGACAAAUGCAAUACAAGCUCGAGAUGAGAUGGAAGAUAACUCUUUCCAAUGGGUUAAGAUGGAUGAAAGAAGAUAUGGAAAGCUAUACAAUGGGAACAGCGAUUUACCAGGAAAACCAUUUUCAAAUGGAAGCGGAAGAUCAACCCUUAAUAGUUCAAGUUCAAGUCAUGAGGAGCCCUAUUUAAUAAAGUUGAAGGGAAAGGGAAAGUAUAAACAAAGAGACUUGAGAGAUGGAGAUGAGGCCGUUAGUUUGGAAAGGCAUCUCUGGUUUAUUAGAGAAGUGAGCUAUGCAAUUCCAAAUUUGAGAAAAUUGCACAGUUUCAAUUUUCUACUACAGAUGACGAAAAAAAGUUUUCAAAUGGAGGUUGAGAACCUGGAAUUAAUAGUUCAAGUUCAAUUAAAUCUAAAUACAGGAAAUCAUACGUCAAUUGGAAGAGGAUUUGGUUUUCCAGUGGACAUCACUUCGAAUGAUACACCAACAUAAGUCAUGAAACCAUGGACAAAUACAUGGGUUCAGGGAUCCCCAAUUUUGGUUUUUGAUAAGAUCACUAAUUUGUGGGCAUAUAUAAGGCGUGAAGGAAAUGGUGUCAUUGUGAGUAAUGAUAAUGGUAGACCUUAUUCUUCUACUCCGGAACUAAAACGUGCAACAAGUGAAUUAAUGAAAGGGUUGGUGAAUAUACAUGCAUCAAAAUUGAUGAUUGAAAAUAUUGGACAUUUUGUUGUUACAACAAACUCUUUGGAAGUUCGGUUUAUUCGCCUUAUCAUAGGAAAAAAAUUUCGAAAUGGAGGUUCACAACCUGGAAUUAAUAGAUCGGGUUCAAGUCAAUCUAAAUACGGGAAAUCAUAUGCUGCUUAGAUUUGGUUUUCCAAUGGACGACAAUAGUCCUUUUAGCAUUCAUGCAUACCGUUCUGAGGAAUUCUACGCACAAACAUGGAGACGCUUCCUCAAUUAUCUUUAUUGUGUAGCUUCGAAUGAUACACCUGCAUAUGUCCUGAAACCAUGGACAUAUACAUCGGUUCAGGAACAACACAUUUUGGUUUUUGAUAGGGUCACUAAUUUGUGGGCAUACAUAAGGCGUGAAGGAAAUGGUGUCAUUGUGAGUAACAAUAAUAGUAGACCUCUCCUACUCCGAAACUAAAACGUGUAACAAGUGAAUUAAUGAAAGGGUUGGUGAAUAUACAUGCAUCAAAAUUGACGAUUGAAAAUAUUGGACAUUCUAUUGUUAUAAUAGACUCUUUGGAAGUUCGGUUUAUUCGCCUUAUCAUAGAAAAUACAAUAGAGGAGACGGGGGAUAUAGCAAGGCUCAUCCAAUUUAUUGCACAGUUACGUGCUUUUAUUCCAGAGUUGAACAACUUGUUCAGUUUUAACCGUAUGUUGCAAACAUCAUAAGAUUUUAUUGAAAAGAUUCUUAGAAAGUUACAGAUUUUAUAAAUGAUCUAGAUUCCUAGUGUAAUGCAAGAUUUAAUAAUAUGGGGGGAGAAUUUAUGCUGAAAGUUUCAGCUAAUUCUGGGUAUUGAAGUUAGGGUUUAAGAAGUGAAAUUAGGUCAUUGAUUUCAGAGUUCAGACUUAGUUUAUUCUAAUAUCAGCGGCUUUGUUAGGUAAUCAAAACAGAAUCACAUUUGAGUUAAUGGAGGUCUAAACAUCUUUAAUGGAGGUUAGUAUAUAAUGGGAAAAUUAGAAACAUAACAAGAUGUAGCCAUUAGAAUAGGAUUAGAUUUGAUUCAAAUUCUGUAUUAGAGUUAAUGAACAUGUGAUUCAAUUCUCAAGAUGACCAGAGGUCCGGAUGACUAGUUUUCUUAACAUAAAACAAAGACUCUUUUGUAUGAAUGUCUAGAAUCUAGGGUUCUAGUUGCAAAAAAUGUAAUAAUAAAGCUGACUUGUAAUGGAAUUGAUCUGAGAAUAAGAAUAAUAACCCAUUACCCAAUAGUAGUAGUAAACUAAGAACACAAGAUAGAUCCACCCUGGCUUCUCACUGCUAGGUAUCAACGGGAUCAGACACCACUCCCUCCUUGAUCACGUACAGAUCUUCAAUGUAAAAGUCCCGUUGCAGCAGCAACAACUUUGAGUUGUUAGUAGAAAUCCCUUAUUGUAAAGACCAUAGUCCCAUCCUGCGAUUAAGAUGAAUAUAGCUUAGGUUUUUUUAGAAGUUCUAUGUGGAUUUAGUUCUGUUUAUAUAUAUAUUUAUUUUACUAUGAUUAUUGAUGUUGUUGGUGGUUAACUUGUUAUUUACUUAUUUGUUUUAAUAAUUUAAUAUUUUAAUUAAUUUGUGAUGUUGUGAAAUCUGAAUUCUGAUUGCAUUUUUAUAACUACAUUUACUUUGAUGACAGGAAAAAAGUUUGUCAAAUGGAAAUUAUAUGCCAAUCGGAAGAGGAGUUGGUCUCUCCAUGGAUAUCAUACUCCUUUUACCAUUCACUGAGGGAAUUAAUGAACGGGUUGGUAGAUAUACAUGGAUAAAAAAUGACGAUGAUGAGUAUUGGACAAUCUGUUGUUAUAACGGGCUCUUUUUUUUUUUUGGUCCUGGGGUAGAGAAAAUUACCUGGAAGUCAUAUUGGUGGAAGAUAUGGCUUCCAAUGCUACUGUAUGUCAAGCUCCCAUGGCGGUCUACUUCUGAUGGAGUCUUCUGAGGGAAUAAUCCUCUAGACUAUCCACUACCUGUGGCCAUUCUACAGAUUUGCCUUCUUGUCUUUCUCACACACACUAUUGCUUAUUUCCUCAGACCACUCAGGCAACCUCAUGUCAUUGCCAAGAUACUUGUUAAGUUUAUUUAUUUAUUUUUGAACAAGACAGAAAUUAUUAUUCAAGUAAAUCAAGAGAGGAAACUAUUGCUCAA
RNA transcript from Macadamia integrifolia, 3806 nucleotides. RefSeq lists it as uncharacterized. The transcript has 13 exons. NCBI's taxonomy places the organism in Eukaryota, Viridiplantae, Streptophyta, Magnoliopsida, Proteales, Proteaceae. The record is from RefSeq and is a predicted model, not a curated record.